This 135-nucleotide ribosomal RNA is filed under the name uncultured bacterium. RNAcentral's name for it is "partial 16S ribosomal RNA". It matches the Rfam family "Bacterial small subunit ribosomal RNA", at positions 397 to 524 of the family's 1533-position model. The record is from RNAcentral.
CCGCGUGAGUGAUGAAGGCUUUCGGGUCGUAAAACUCUGUUGUUAGGGAAGAACAAGUACGAGAGUAACUGCUCGUACCUUGACGGUACCUAACCAGAAAGCCACGGCUAACUACGUGCCAGCAGCCGCGGUAAU